RNAcentral lists this ribosomal RNA (465 nucleotides) under uncultured bacterium. RNAcentral describes it as "bacterial SSU rRNA". It matches the Rfam family "Bacterial small subunit ribosomal RNA", at positions 338 to 795 of the family's 1533-position model. The record is from RNAcentral.
CCUACGGGAUGCACCAGUGGGGAAUAUUGCACAAUGGGCGCAAGCCUGAUGCAGCCAUGCCGCGUGUGCGAAGAAGGCCUUCGGGUUGUAAAGCACUUUCAGCGGGGAGGAAAGCGGUGAGGUUAAUAACCUCAUCGAUUGACGUUACCCGCAGAAGAAGCACCGGCUAACUCCGUGCCAGCAGCCGCGGUAAUACGGAGGGUGCAAGCGUUAAUCGGAAUUACUGGGCGUAAAGCGCACGCAGGCGGUCUGUCAAGUCGGAUGUGAAAUCCCCGGGCUCAACCUGGGAACUACAUUCGAAACUGGCAGGCUAGAGUCUUGUAGAGGGGGGUAGAAUUCCAGAUGUAGCGGUGAAAUGCGUAGAGAUCUGGAGGAAUACCGGUGGCGAAGGCGGCCCCCUGGACAAAGACUGACGCUCAGGUGCGAAAGCGUGGGGAGCAAACAGGAUUAGAUACCCCCGUAGUC